Molecule: ribosomal RNA, 996 nt
Filed under: Megadasys sp. MVS-2005
Lineage: Eukaryota; Metazoa; Gastrotricha; Macrodasyida; Lepidodasyidae
Description: eukaryotic LSU rRNA
Rfam family: Eukaryotic large subunit ribosomal RNA
Source: RNAcentral
CCUCAGUAACGGCGAGUGAAGCGGGAAAAGCCCAGCGCCGAAUCCGCUAGCCAUUGGCUUGUUGGAACUGUGGCGUUUAGGGGCUCAUUUGCUAUGACUUACUGGUGCCGAAGUCUUCCUGAUCGUGGCAUAACCCAUAGAGGGUGUUAGGCCUGUAAAGGCACCGGUGGUCGAUGCUGUGACGCUCCUGGGAGUCGGGUUGUUUGUGACUGCAGCCCUAAGUGGCUGGUAGACACCAGCUAAGGCUAAAUACGGGCACGAGUCCGAUAGCGAACAAGUACCGUGAGGGACAGGUGAAAAGCACUUUGAAGAGAGAGUUCAACAGUACGUGAAACCGUUUAGAGGCAAACGGAUGGAUCCGGAAAAUUGCUUGGAAGAUUCAGUUGACGCGUGUUCGGUUAUGGUGAUGUGUUGAUCGUUUGACUCUGUCGCCUUAUGCCGAAGGUGCGUUCAGCGCACUUCUUGCAGGCAAUCGCCGCGACCAAUUUUGCACAAGUGAGGCAGAAGGGCCUGGUAGGCUUGCCUUUCUUAGGCGAGCUGUUAAGGCCUUUCUUGUACACGUUGUGUAAGAUUGAGGAUGUUACUGUACGCACUGUUUGCUGCUCGGGCAUGUUGUAUUUUGUCGCAUAGACGUGGGUCGACUGUUUACAGUGGUCUCAAACCUUGCGGCAAUUGUGCAAUUUUGUCUCGAGUCGUACAGCGGUCUGCGGUGUUGAUGUGGGCAUCCAUCUGACCCGUCUUGAAACACGGACCAAGGAGUCUAACAUGUACGCGAGCUAUGGGGAUUUGAAACCCAAAGGCGUAAUGAAAGUAAAGGCCUUUAGUGGCAUGUUGUGGGAUCCUGCUCGUUGCGGGCGCACCACAAACCCGUUCCUUUCCUGCGUGGAUGGGGCGGUGUUUGAGCGUACACGUUGGGACCCGAAAGAUGGUGAACUAUGGCUGGUUAGGAUGAAGCCAGAGGAAACUCUGGUGGAGGUCCGUAGCGAUUCUGACGUG